This 188-nucleotide non-coding RNA is filed under the name Bacillota bacterium. RNAcentral's name for it is "Firmicutes bacterium (anaerobic digester metagenome) 6S RNA". It matches the Rfam family "6S / SsrS RNA". From Rfam's summary of the family: E. coli 6S RNA was the first non coding RNA to be sequenced, but its function was unknown until recently. It consists of 184 nucleotides that fold into an extended hairpin structure with a large single-stranded internal bulge. Lineage: Bacteria; Bacillati; Bacillota. The record is from RNAcentral.
AAUGCCCUACCGUGUGCGAAGCGGGCUAGACAGUUUUGUUCCAACACCGACACAUCGGGAGCCUGGUCUCCGGCAGUGGAGCGCAUGCCACCUCGGGUCUUAGUGGACGCGCAAAGCUGCCGGGAGGGCACCCACCUGCAGAGCGCAGGGAUAUAAACAGUCGGCCGACACGGCACGGUGGGGUUUUU